AGUGAACGCUGGCGGUAGGCCUAACACAUGCAAGUCGAACGGCAGCACAGUAAGAGCUUGCUCUUACGGGUGGCGAGUGGCGGACGGGUGAGGAAUACAUCGGAAUCUACUUUUUCGUGGGGGAUAACGUAGGGAAACUUACGCUAAUACCGCAUACGACCUACGGGUGAAAGCAGGGGAUCUUCGGACCUUGCGCGAUUGAAUGAGCCGAUGUCGGAUUAGCUAGUUGGCGGGGUAAAGGCCCACCAAGGCGACGAUCCGUAGCUGGUCUGAGAGGAUGAUCAGCCACACUGGAACUGAGACACGGUCCAGACUCCUACGGGAGGCCGCAGUGGGGAAUAUUGGACAAUGGGCGCAAGCCUGAUCCAGCCAUACCGCGUGGGUGAAGAAGGCGUUCGGGUUGUAAAGCCCUUUUGUUGGGAAAGAAAAGCAGCAGGUUAAUACCCCGCUGUUCUGACGGUACCCAAAGAAUAAGCACCGGCUAACUUCGUG
RNAcentral lists this ribosomal RNA (492 nucleotides) under uncultured bacterium. Its description in RNAcentral is "partial 16S ribosomal RNA". It matches the Rfam family "Bacterial small subunit ribosomal RNA", at positions 29 to 507 of the family's 1533-position model. The record is from RNAcentral.